AACACAUGCAAGUCGAACGGCAGCACAGAGGAGCUUGCUCCUUGGGUGGCGAGUGGCGGACGGGUGAGGAAUACAUCGGAAUCUACUCUGUCGUGGGGGAUAACGUAGGGAAACUUACGCUAAUACCGCAUACGACCUACGGGUGAAAGCAGGGGAUCUUCGGACCUUGCGCGAUUGAAUGAGCCGAUGUCGGAUUAGCUAGUUGGCGGGGUAAAGGCCCACCAAGGCGACGAUCCGUAGCUGGUCUGAGAGGAUGAUCAGCCACACUGGAACUGAGACACGGUCCAGACUCCUACGGGAGGCAGCAGUGGGGAAUAUUGGACAAUGGGCGCAAGCCUGAUCCAGCCAUACCGCGUGGGUGAAGAAGGCCUUCGGGUUGUAAAGCCCUUUUGUUGGGAAAGAAAUCCAGCUGGCUAAUACCCGGUUGGGAUGACGGUACCCAAAGAAUAAGCACCGGCUAACUUCGUGCCAGCAGCCGCGGUAAUACGAAGGGUGCAAGCGUUACUCGGAAUUACUGGGCGUAAAGCGUGCGUAGGUGGUCGUUUAAGUCCGUUGUGAAAGNCCUGGGCUCAACCCUGGGAACUGCAGUGGAUACUGGACGAUUAGGAGUGUGGUAGAGG
RNAcentral lists this ribosomal RNA (620 nucleotides) under Stenotrophomonas sp. NO3. Its description in RNAcentral is "bacterial SSU rRNA". It matches the Rfam family "Bacterial small subunit ribosomal RNA", at positions 50 to 657 of the family's 1533-position model. The record is from RNAcentral. Lineage: Bacteria; Pseudomonadati; Pseudomonadota; Gammaproteobacteria; Lysobacterales; Lysobacteraceae.